Molecule: ribosomal RNA, 274 nt
Filed under: uncultured bacterium
Lineage: Bacteria
Description: partial 16S ribosomal RNA
Rfam family: Bacterial small subunit ribosomal RNA
Source: RNAcentral
AUACGGAGGGUGCAAGCGUUACUCGGAAUCACUGGGCGUAAAGCGCGCGCAGGCGGCUAUUUAAGUUGGAUGUGAAAGCCUACGGCUCAACCGUAGAACUGCAUCCAAAACUAUUUAGCUAGAGUGUGGGAGAGGAAGAUGGAAUUAGUUGUGUAGGGGUAAAAUCCGUAGAGAUAACUAGGAAUAACAAAAGCGAAGGCAAUCUUCUGGAACACUACUGACGCUGAGGCGCGAAAGCGUGGGGAGCAAACGGGAUUAGAAACCCCAGUAGUCC